AUGCUUCACUGGCCAUCCGGUGGUUGGAUCACGGGCCAACGCUCUGGUCGCGAUGUGGUUGAGCUGCGCAGGAGGGGGAGGAGGCUGGGGACAGGGAACCGGGCCAGGGAGGAGGCAAGGAAGAACGCACAGUCUGCACUGGGGUAUAAAAUUAUCUACUACUUACCUUUGUGUCUCGACAUAUGCUUGUCAUUCAUCGUGCUACCAGAGGCCAUCAUUAUCCAGUAUCAUAGCGAUGAUAAAAAUGACUAUUGGAUACUCCGCAUAUUCUCAUCUGAUUUCUCAUAUAUAGAUAUUAAUUUCCUUUCAUGGGAGGCCUUCAUUACAUUUCAGCGGCAGUUGCGGAUGUGGACGGCGGUUGAGGGAGGGUCUCCGACUAGAGCAGCAGGAGCAAGGAGCUCGAGGAAGUUCAGGUUUAUGGCUUCUCACGGGAUGUGA
This 438-nucleotide ribosomal RNA is filed under the name Triticum aestivum (bread wheat). Its description in RNAcentral is "partial small subunit ribosomal RNA". Lineage: Eukaryota; Viridiplantae; Streptophyta; Magnoliopsida; Poales; Poaceae. The record is from RNAcentral.